RNAcentral lists this ribosomal RNA (626 nucleotides) under uncultured bacterium. Its description in RNAcentral is "bacterial SSU rRNA". It matches the Rfam family "Bacterial small subunit ribosomal RNA", at positions 867 to 1502 of the family's 1533-position model. The record is from RNAcentral.
AUCCACCUGGGGAGUACGAUCGCAAGAUUGAAACUCAAAGGAAUUGACGGGGGCCCGCACAAGCGGAGGAACAUGUGGUUUAAUUCGAUGAUACGCGAGGAACCUUACCUGGGCUUAAAUGCAGAACGACGAUUCGGGAAACCGAUUCUCCCUUCGGGGCGGACUGCAAGGUGCUGCAUGGUUGUCGUCAGCUCGUGCCGUGAGGUGUCGGGUUAAGUCCCAUAACGAGCGCAACCCUUAUCGUUAGUUGCCAGCGGGUAAUGCCGGGGACUCUAACGAAACUGCCGGUGUAAACCGAGAGGAAGGUAGGGAUGACGUCAAAUCAGCACGGCCCUUAUGUCCAGGGCUACACACGUGUUACAAUGGUCGGUACAGAGGGCAGCUACCUGGUAACAGGAUGCUAAUCUCGAAAGCCGGUCUUAGUUCGGAUCGAAGUCUGCAACUCGACUUCGUGAAGCUGGAUUCGCUAGUAAUCGCGCAUCAGCCAUGGCGCGGUGAAUACGUUCCCGGGCCUUGUACACACCGCCCGUCAAGCCAUGGAAGCUGGGGGUACCUGAAGUCUGUAACCGCAAGGAGCGGCCUAGGGUAAAACUAGUGACUGGGGCUAAGUCGUAACAAGGUAGCCG